This 253-nucleotide ribosomal RNA is filed under the name uncultured bacterium. Its description in RNAcentral is "partial 16S ribosomal RNA". It matches the Rfam family "Bacterial small subunit ribosomal RNA", at positions 524 to 776 of the family's 1533-position model. The record is from RNAcentral.
UACAGGGGGCUCGAGCGUUAGUCGGAAUCACUGGGCUUAAAGGGUGCGUAGGCGGUCCAUCAAGUGUUCUGUGAAAUCCCCGAGCUCAACUCGGGAACUGCAGGGCAAACUGAAGGACUUGAAGCAGGUAGGGGCUGGAAGAACAGUUGGUGGAGCGGUGAAAUGCGUAGAUAUCAACUGGAAUGCCGAUGGGGAAGCCGUCCAGCUGGGCCUGUCUUGACGCUGAGGCACGAAAGCGUGGGGAGCAAACAGG